GACGAACGCUGGCGGCGUGCUUAACACAUGCAAGUCGAACGGAAAGGCCCUGCUUGCAGGGUACUCGAGUGGCGAACGGGUGAGUAACACGUGGGUGGUCUGCCCUUCACUUCGGGAUAAGCUUGGGAAACUGGGUCUAAUACCGGAUAGGAGCCAUCUUUAGUGUGGUGGUUGGAAAGUUUUUUCGGUGUAGGAUGAGCUCGCGGCCUAUCAGCUUGUUGGUGGGGUAAUGGCCUACCAAGGCGGCGACGGGUAGCCGGCCUGAGAGGGUGUACGGCCACAUUGGGACUGAGAUACGGCCCAGACUCCUACGGGAGGCAGCAGUGGAGAAUAUUGCACAAUGGGCGCAAGCCUGAUGCAGCGACGCCGCGUGGGGGAUGAAGGCCUUCGGGUUGUAAACUCCUUUCGCUAGGGACGAAGCUUUGUUGUGACGGUACCUAGAUAAGAAGCACCGGCUAACUACGUG
This 466-nucleotide ribosomal RNA is filed under the name uncultured bacterium. RNAcentral describes it as "partial 16S ribosomal RNA". It matches the Rfam family "Bacterial small subunit ribosomal RNA", at positions 28 to 507 of the family's 1533-position model. The record is from RNAcentral.